This 1183-nucleotide long non-coding RNA is filed under the name Homo sapiens (human). RNAcentral describes it as "HSALNT0341814". Lineage: Eukaryota; Metazoa; Chordata; Mammalia; Primates; Hominidae. The record is from RNAcentral.
CUUUCAGACUAUGAGGAAGACGACAAUGAAGAUACUGACAGUAGUGAUGCAGAAAAUGAAAUUAAUAAACAUGAUGUCGUGGUCCAGUUGCAGCCUAAUGGUGAAUGGGAUUACAACAUAGCAAAUACUGUUUGACUUUCAGAAGAUGAUUGGUUUAUUUCACUUUAAAAUAUUUAGGUAUAUACUGUAAUUUGAUUUUUUGCUCCCUUCAAAGAUUUCUGUAGAAAUACCUUAUUUUUUAGUAUUCUACAGUUUAAUCAAAUUACUGAAAUGGGAUUUUUGAUCUGGUAUUUAUCUGCAAGAGUAUACUUCAUUCACUAAUAAUAGACUGGUGCUGUAACUCAAACAUCAAUUCAGCUCUUCUUUUGGAAUGAAAGUAUAGCCAAAACAAACAAACAAAAAAAUCCUCAGUAUAGCUUGCAAUUAAGACUUAGAUCACAGUAUUUAAGUGUUUUGAGUUUUGUACAUGAGGUCAGUGCUACAGCCACCUAGCAUGAACUAACCCAGCUUCCACCUCCAUAAAGUUACCUAGAGUUGUUGAGUUGGAAUAUGUUCUGGCAUUUACCCGACCUGCCAAUCAUUAGGGAGAGGCAACAAGGUAAUUCAGCCUUUCCUCCUAUCAGCACGAAGAAACUCAAAGCUGUUUUUUCCCUUUCUGUUCCAAAGCAGUCUUAUCCUGACAGGAGCGGUCUAUACUAGUGCAGAUUUCAACACUUUUUUUUUAAUGUUUUAAUUACUAUAGUGUUAUGUAGAGAUUUGAUUGAGCAGCUAAUGUUUCUGAACUUUACUUACUAAUUUUCAGUGUCCUUAAGGGUUCUGUAGUGUUGUUAUCAAAGCAAAAAGAAAAUGCUGCAUAAAAAUACCAAACUUCAGCAACUGUUAAUACUCAGAUCAUAUACCUCUUAACAAAUAGCAUCUUAUGCUAAUUAGCCCUGCUAAACUAUGUACAGAGAAAACUGUUCAAGUAUUGGAUUUGAAAGUAAGUGACUUAUGUUUAACAGAACUAAUGAUGUAUUGAAACACUGUAUUAUGAAAAGCUAAAUUAUACAUCAUUGUAACUAUGUAGAAAAUGUAGACUAAUGUAUAAUCAAAAUGCUAAGGAUUUUUAUAUGGCCUUGUAUGAGGGGAGUUUGAAUGUUAAUAAACAUGUUUUCCACUUUAAGAUCCAAAAAAAAAAAAAAAA